Molecule: ribosomal RNA, 253 nt
Filed under: uncultured bacterium
Lineage: Bacteria
Description: partial 16S ribosomal RNA
Rfam family: Bacterial small subunit ribosomal RNA
Source: RNAcentral
UACGUAGGGGGCUAGCGUUGUCCGGAAUCAUUGGGCGUAAAGCGCGUGUAGGCGGUCCGGUAAGUCCGCUGUGAAAGUCGGGGGCUCAACCCUCGGAUGCCGGUGGAUACUGUCGGGCUUGAGUACGGAAGAGGCGAGUGGAAUUCCUGGUGUAGCGGUGAAAUGCGCAGAUAUCAGGAGGAACACCAGUGGCGAAGGCGACACGCUGGGUCACACCUGACGCUAAAGCGCGACAGCAUGGGGAGCGAACGGG